UCAUUUAAUGCUGGCAUAUCUCGUUUGGAGUGUACUGUGUCGGAACCACCACUACCGUCGGCGUGUAGCUCGCCCGUGCACAUGCUUGGGUCUCCUCUUGCCACAAGCAGCUCUUCCCAGGAAUCUCUGGUGACCCUAACCCAGCCAGUGGGCCGACACAAACAGGUUAAAAGGAAGCGGGAUUCGUCAUCUGGCCUUGUCUUGUU
Long non-coding RNA from Trematomus bernacchii (emerald rockcod), 206 nucleotides. RefSeq lists it as uncharacterized. NCBI's taxonomy places the organism in Eukaryota, Metazoa, Chordata, Actinopteri, Perciformes, Nototheniidae. The transcript has 3 exons. The record is from RefSeq and is a predicted model, not a curated record.